AACGAACGCUGGCGGCAUGCCUAACACAUGCAAGUCGAACGAGACCUUCGGGUCUAGUGGCGCACGGGUGCGUAACGCGUGGGAACCUGCCCUUAGGUUCGGAAUAACUCCCCGAAAGGGGUGAUAAUACCGGAUAAUGUCUUCGGACCAAAGAUUUAUCGCCUUUGGAUGGGCCCGCGUUGGAUUAGCUAGUUGGUAGGGUAAAAGCCUACCAAGGCGACGAUCCAUAGCUGGUCUGAGAGGAUGAUCAGCCACACUGGGACUGAGACACGGCCCAGACUCCUACGGGAGGCAGCAGUGGGGAAUAUUGGACAAUGGGCGAAAGCCUGAUCCAGCAAUGCCGCGUGAGUGAUGAAGGCCGUAGGGUUGUAAAGCUCUUUUACCCGGGAUGAUAAUGACAGUACCGGGAGAAUAAGCUCCGGCUAACUCCGUG
This 433-nucleotide ribosomal RNA is filed under the name uncultured bacterium. RNAcentral describes it as "partial 16S ribosomal RNA". It matches the Rfam family "Bacterial small subunit ribosomal RNA", at positions 29 to 507 of the family's 1533-position model. The record is from RNAcentral.